ACCUGAAUAAUACUUUGACAUUGAAACACAACAGCUAUACAUAACUAGGUGAAAGCAGACCUGACGCAACACACACACACACACAAUAAGCACACGCACACACACACACACACACACACACACACACACAAUAAGCACACUGUGGUAAGACUGUUUUGGGUUGCAUUUUGUCUGCAUUUAGCCAAUCUGUAACAAUCAGAAGAAUAAAAUACACAUCCAAACAUCUUGACCUUUCAACAAACAGCAAGAUGGAAAUGAACCUUGUGAAGGAAACAGCAACAUAAAGUGUUUUAAUAGGAGGUAACUGGCAGAAUAAAGGAAACUCCAGGUCCUCCACCAACCACCAGGUAACUGCCAGAAUAAAGGAAACUCCAACAUAGUGUUUUAAUAGGACGUCGGGUCCUCCACCAACCACCAGGUAACUGGCAGAAUAAAGGAAACUCCAACAGUGUUUUAAUAAGAGGUCGGGUCGUCCACCAGGUAACUGGCAGAAUAAAGGAAACUCCAACAGUGUUUUAAUAGGAGGUCGGGUCGUCCACCAGGUAACUGGCAGAAUAAAGGAAACUCCAGGUCCUCCACCAACCACCAGGUAACUGGGAGAAUAAAGGAAACUCCAACAGUGUUUUAAUAGGACGUCGGGUCCUCCACCAACCAGAACAGCUUUAAUACACCUUGACAUCGAUUCUACAAGUGUCUGGGAAGUCUAUCGGAGGGAUGAGACGCCAUUCUUCCACGAGGAAAUUCCAUCAUUUGGUGUUUUGUUGAUGGUAUUGAAGCCACCUUGCAGCCAUUUUGGCUCUCCUUAAUGAUGUGUAUAAACCCUGGAUGGCUGACAGGGGGGUGCUGUAUUGAAGCCACCGUGCAGCCAUUUUGGCUCUCCUUAAUGAUGUGUAUAAACCCUGGAUGGCUGACAGGGGGGGGGCUGUAUUGCAGCCAUUUUGGCUCUCCUUAAUGAUGUGUAUAAACCCUGGAUGGCUGACAGGGGGGUGCUGUAUUGAAGCCACCGUGCAGCCAUUUUGGCUCUCCUUAAUGAUGUGUAUAAACCCUGGAUGGCUGACAGGGGGGUGCUGUAUUGAAGCCACCGUGCAGCCAUUUUGGCUCUCCUUAAUGAUGUGUAUAAACCCUGGAUGGCUGACAGGGGGUGCUGUAUUGCAGCCAUUUUGGCUCUCCUUAAUGAUGUGUAUAAACCCUGGAUGGCUGACAGGGGGGUGCUGUAUUGAAGCCAUUUUGGCUCUCCUUAAUGAUGUGUAUAAACCCUGGAUGGCUGACAGGGGGGUGCUCUAUUGCAGCCAUUUUGUCUCUCCUUAAUGAUGUGUAUAAACCCUGGAUGGCUGACAGGGGGGGGGCUGUAUUGAAGCCACCGUGCAGCCAUUUUGGCGCUCCUCCAUUGUAAAUAAUAUGUUGGACGAUAUAGAAAUCCAUUUACUAAAUGUCAUUACAUUAAUUUCUGACAUGUUUAUUCCAUUAAGACACCGUAAUGUAUAAUUUUACAUAUGUGAGCUAAACUAAAAU
This 1512-nucleotide long non-coding RNA is filed under the name Salmo salar (Atlantic salmon). RNAcentral describes it as "lncRNA (ENSSSAG00000091431.1)". The record is from RNAcentral. Lineage: Eukaryota; Metazoa; Chordata; Actinopteri; Salmoniformes; Salmonidae.